Molecule: ribosomal RNA, 491 nt
Filed under: uncultured bacterium
Lineage: Bacteria
Description: partial 16S ribosomal RNA
Rfam family: Bacterial small subunit ribosomal RNA
Source: RNAcentral
GUGAACGCUGGCGGUAGGCCUAACACCUGCAAGUCGAACGGCAGCACAGUAGGAGCUUGCUCUUACGGGUGGCGAGUGGCGGACGGGUGAGGAAUACAUCGGAAUCUACUUUUUCGUGGGGGAUAACGUAGGGAAACUUACGCUAAUACCGCAUACGACCUACGGGUGAAAGCAGGGGAUCUUCGGACCUUGCGCGAUUGAAUGAGCCGAUGUCGGAUUAGCUAGUUGGCGGGGUAAAGGCCCACCAAGGCGACGAUCCGUAGCUGGUCUGAGAGGAUGAUCAGCCACACUGGAACUGAGACACGGUCCAGACUCCUACGGGAGGCAGCAGUGGGGAAUAUUGGACAAUGGGCGCAAGCCUGAUCCAGCCAUACCGCGUGGGUGAAGAAGGCCUUCGGGUUGUAAAGCCCUUUUGUUGGGAAAGAAAAGCAGCAGGUUAAUACCCCGCUGUUCUGACGGUACCCAAAGAAUAAGCACCGGCUAACUUCGUG